Non-coding RNA from Nasonia vitripennis (jewel wasp), 46 nucleotides. NCBI's taxonomy places the organism in Eukaryota, Metazoa, Arthropoda, Insecta, Hymenoptera, Pteromalidae. The record is from Rfam.
AAAUCGGCCCUUUUCAGGGCCACCAAAAAUAUUAAACGUAGAAUAU